GACGAACGCUGGCGGCGUGCCUAAUACAUGCAAGUAGAACGCUGAAGAGAGGAGCUUGCUCUUCUUGGAUGAGUUGCGAACGGGUGAGUAACGCGUAGGUAACCUGCCUUGUAGCGGGGGAUAACUAUUGGAAACGAUAGCUAAUACCGCAUAACAAUGGAUGACACAUGUCAUUUAUUUGAAAGGGGCAAUUGCUCCACUACAAGAUGGACCUGCGUUGUAUUAGCUAGUAGGUGAGGUAAUGGCUCACCUAGGCGACGAUACAUAGCCGACCUGAGAGGGUGAUCGGCCACACUGGGACGGAGACACGGCCCAGACUCCUACGGGAGGCAGCAGUAGGGAAGCUUCGGCAAUGGGGGCAACCCUGACCGAGCAACGCCGCGUGAGUGAAGAAGGGUUUCGGAUCGGAAAGCUCGGUUGUAAGUCAAGAACGGGUGUGAGAGUGGAAAGUUCACACUGUGACGGUAGCUUACCAGAAAGGGACGGCUAACUACGUG
RNAcentral lists this ribosomal RNA (497 nucleotides) under uncultured bacterium. RNAcentral's name for it is "partial 16S ribosomal RNA". It matches the Rfam family "Bacterial small subunit ribosomal RNA", at positions 28 to 507 of the family's 1533-position model. The record is from RNAcentral.